UCCUGGGGUUUUGAGGGAGGAGAGGUGUUGAGAGGUGACAAAACUAAUUUCUAAUAAGUGCCCCCCUUUAUUUCCAUAACAAGUCAUUGAGUCUGUACUCUGAAUAGUGACACCAGGGACCGAGAAGCUGCAGGGCUUGUCAGCCCAACCCCUGCAUGGUCUCCUUAGGGCUGGCCUUAAGGCAAUUGGAGCAAUUUGGCCAAACUGGGCCCCGUGAGCCACUCCUACGUGGGCCCCCACACCAGGGCAAUCUAGAUGGAUUUUAUUUAUAUCUCUAAUAUUCCAAUUUGGGCCCCAGAGCUUCAAAUUGGGCCCCACUGGCUAGCCCUGAGCCUCAUAGUUUGCUGGGCCUGAGUUGCCCUGCCCUCGCAUAAGUCUUGGGUUUGCAAUUUUGGGAGACGGGACACUGCAGUGCUGGGGAGCGGGCAGGCUGGCAAGGCCCCCUAGAUUUAGAGGCCCAAAUUGCCCUGCCCUUUCAUGAAGUCUUGGGUUUGCAAUUUUGGGAGAGGGGAGACAGCAGCGCUGGGGACAGGGCGGACUAGCAAGGCCCCCCAGAUUUAGAGGCCCUAGGCCUCAGCCUACUUAGCCUAUACGUAAAUCUGGCCCUGGCCCCAGAGGACCACCCUGGGCCCCGCAGCCUCCUGGGCAGAGGUGGAAGGGCAGCACAAAGAACCCAGGCAGCGGGAGGCAGGUCUAAGGGAUCCUUGCUCUCACUCACUGCUCACCGCUAGGGAAGGGAUGUGUAACCCCAGCACAUCUGCAAAGAGAAGGACAUGGGGACAGGUGAGUUCGUCCCUGAGCCCCUGGCAAGGCUAUUCCAAGAGUUUUCUCCUGGAUUCCAAGUUCUACUACAGGGGAGCGACACCCCAGGCCUUGGGGACCAAUCCUAGCCUCCUGCCCCGCAGAACAUGGCUCCCCAGGGAAGGCGCCCCUCUCGCUGACAACUGUCCCGCCUUGCCCCACAGCCCAGCCCCCUGCUUCCUCCAUUGGACCCCACAAAAUGGGGUGGUCCCGGGGGGCGGGGGUUGGGUUUCCAAAUGCUGGCCCAGAUGGACCUUGGGUUGGAUCCAGCCAUCUGGCUCUGUGUAUCUUUUGACUAGCUGCCCCCCUAGCCCAUUCCUGCCCUCCUCUGUCCCAAAAAGGAGGGACACUGGCUCACCUGACGCCAUGGGCUGCUUCGGGCCUUGCAGGGCUGUUGCUGUGGCUGAUCAGGCAUCUUAAGCACCUUAACUUAGAAGAGAGGAGCAGAGAGAGCAACUCAGAAGCUGGCAGCCCCAAUUCUUGGGGGGCGUUUGUGUGUGAGGAGGGGCGUUUGGCCCAAUUCUUUCCAUCUCUCUGCAGUUCAGUGACCUGAAAGGGCAUCGCCAGAGCUGGAAAGAGGCAGCCCAGAGCAUGAAGGGCUGGCAGAGAGAGAAAGGAGGCCCCAAGUGCUAUGGGUUCAAGAGCUCCAGCCCAAAGGAAAGAGAAGCAUUGCCAGCUGUUAAAGGGCUGCUCUGCCUCGUCUUAGGACAGCCCUGCCCUUCCUGGAGAGGGAGGAGACCCAUAGGAGGGUCCUCCAAGCAUCAAGGUGUCCCAGAAGAGGAGCAGAACAUGAGGAAGAUGGUGGAAUCUUCCAUGGAGCCAGAGAGACCCCCAGGAAGGGGGAGAAGGCCGAUGUCGUAGGGCAGUUGGAGAGAUGCAAAAUGGAGCCAGGCAGAGGUGUAGCGGUUGGAGAACUGGACUAGGAGGACCUGGGAGAGCAGGGUUUGAAUCCCCACUCAGCCAUGAAGCUCCCUGGUGGACCUUGGGCCAGCCUAGCCUACUUUGCAGGCCUGCUGUGAAGAUGACAAUUGGUGGCAGGGAGAACCAUGAAGGCCACCUUGAGCUCCUGGGAGGAAAGUGGGCUAUGAAUGUCCUAGUAAAUGUAAAUGAUGAGAGGGGAGAGAAAAGGGGAAGGCAGGGAAAGAGUGUGGAGGAGCUGAGUUCUCUGGAGAAGACUGGCCGGGUCAAUUUCCAGAGAGCUAAGGCUGUGCAGGGGACCCCAGGACUCAAACCCCGCCCCCAGGAGACCAAGAGAAAGCAAAGGAAUGCUACUUACAGUCUGCACAUUUUGUUCACGAAAAAUUCCCACCCUCCUCUCUAAACUAGUUAUCUAAAAUGCCCACCCAAGCCUAACUCUGAC
RNAcentral lists this long non-coding RNA (2161 nucleotides) under Podarcis lilfordi (Lilford's wall lizard). Lineage: Eukaryota; Metazoa; Chordata; Lepidosauria; Squamata; Lacertidae. The record is from RNAcentral.